UCAAGCUUAGUUUAAUAUAAAACACUAAUUUGUGAUAUUAGAAAUAAGGAAAAUCUUAGCUAGUC
This 65-nucleotide transfer RNA is filed under the name Ophiacantha linea. RNAcentral describes it as "tRNA-His". The record is from RNAcentral. Lineage: Eukaryota; Metazoa; Echinodermata; Ophiuroidea; Amphilepidida; Ophiacanthidae.